CCCUCCUUUUCGCAUCCUUGGGGAAUAUUGCGCAAUGGGCGAAAGCAUGACUCCUCUCCUCCUCUUUCUUUCUCCCUUUCUUCGUAUCGUAAACCUCUGUCAGCAGGGAAUAACGGUCACUGUGCUAAUCAGCAGUGAAUUGACGGUACCUGCAAAGGAAGCACCGGCUAACUCCGUGCCAGCAGCCGCGGUAAUACGGAGGGUGCGAGCGUUAAUCGGAAUUACUGGGCGUAAAGCGCUCGUAGGCGGUAUGCCAAGUCAAGGGUGAAAUCCCCGCGCUCAACGUGGGAACUGCCUUUGAAACU
Molecule: ribosomal RNA, 305 nt
Filed under: uncultured bacterium
Lineage: Bacteria
Description: bacterial SSU rRNA
Rfam family: Bacterial small subunit ribosomal RNA
Source: RNAcentral